GUUAGCUCAGCCGGACAGAGCAAUUGCCUUCUAAGCAAUCGGUCACUGGUCCGAAUCCAGUAC
RNAcentral lists this transfer RNA (63 nucleotides) under Escherichia coli O157. RNAcentral describes it as "tRNA-Arg". It matches the Rfam family "tRNA", at positions 6 to 65 of the family's 71-position model. From Rfam's summary of the family: Transfer RNA (tRNA) molecules are approximately 80 nucleotides in length. Their secondary structure includes four short double-helical elements and three loops (D, anti-codon, and T loops). Lineage: Bacteria; Pseudomonadati; Pseudomonadota; Gammaproteobacteria; Enterobacterales; Enterobacteriaceae. The record is from RNAcentral.